GGGAAUAAUAUUUGCCUUCUCACCUAGGGAACCACAGCAAGCACGACGUAAAAACUCCCGGCGUCUACUCCUUCUUCUUCGCCUCUUCACCUUUCCAUCAUCUCCGAUCCAACUCGCCACGAUCCUUGCCGCCACAAAGGCCUUGUUAUUCCGAUCUACGCCAAACAUACUAAGCCCUCAUGGACAGCAAAGGGACAUGGUGGAUCAAUGGGACAGCCAAGAUACGUGGUAGAACCUAACCGUAUUUUCCACGGGAGGAAGAACGACCACCACGGAUGACCGACGACGGCGGCGGUGGCAAAACCCUAGGCCCUCUCCUCCUCUUCCCUCUUCUCCUUUCUCUCUUUCGUGAAUUUUGUAGGUAGAAUGGCGGCGGUUCGUGACCAGGUUGGGAGGAACAGGGAAAACACCGACUCGCGGUAGGAGAAGGGUCGGGUGUGGUACUGUACACCGCGGGUACUGUAGCGCCGGCUAGAGUAUUUUUUUAUUUUUUACCUUUUUUUCUUUAUCUAUUUAUCCCUCAGGCAUUACAAUUACCUACCUCAACAAAAUGAUAAAAGCCAAAAAGGCUCAAGCAUACAUCUCCCUUACCAUCCGAGGCCCGCGCAACUGUGCCUCAAAAGACCCCGAUUCGCCUAAGGCCCAACCACCAGGUCUCGAGUGGGUUAAAACCGCUUUCAAAACUAUACUCUAAUUUUGUAGCUCCCUUAAGGCGUCGGUAGUACCUGCAGUUUGCGUCGGUAGUACU
RNAcentral lists this long non-coding RNA (748 nucleotides) under Sorghum bicolor (sorghum). RNAcentral describes it as "long non-coding RNA (SBIC_LNC008577)". Lineage: Eukaryota; Viridiplantae; Streptophyta; Magnoliopsida; Poales; Poaceae. The record is from RNAcentral.